UACGGAGGUGGCAAGCGUUGCUCGGAAUCACUGGGCGUAAAGGGCGCGUAGGCGGGGAGGUAAGUCGGGUGUGAAAUCCCUCGGCCCAACUGAGGAACUGCGCCCGAGACUGCUUCUCUUGAGUCCCGGAGAGGAAGAUGGAAUUCCCGGUGUAGCGGUGAAAUGUGUAGAGAUCGGGAGGAACACCGGUGGCGAAGGCGGUCUUCUGGACGGUGACUGACGCUGAGGCGCGAAAGCCAGGGGAGCAAACGGG
This 253-nucleotide ribosomal RNA is filed under the name uncultured bacterium. RNAcentral describes it as "partial 16S ribosomal RNA". It matches the Rfam family "Bacterial small subunit ribosomal RNA", at positions 524 to 776 of the family's 1533-position model. The record is from RNAcentral.